AACUUUUGACAAUGGAUCUCUUGGCUCUCGCAUCGAUGAAGAACGCAGCGAAAUGCGAUAAGUAAUGUGAAUUGCAGAAUUCAGUGCAUCAUCGAAUCUUUGAACGCACCUUGCGCUCCUUGGUAUUCCGAGGAGCAUGCCUGUUUGAGUGUCAUUAAAUUCUCAACCUUCCAACUUUUAUUAGCUUGGGUAGGCUUGGAUGUGGGGGUUGCAGGCUUCAUCAAUGAGGUCAGCUCUUCUUAAAUGCAUUAGCGGAACUUUUGUGUACCGUCUAUUGGUGUGAUAAUUAUCUACGCCGUGGAUGAGAAACAGCUUUAUCAAGUUCAGCUUCUAACCGUCCAUUACUUGGACAAUUUUGACAAUUUGACCUCAAAUCAGGUAGGACUACCCGCUGAACUUAAGCAUAUCAAUAAGCGGAGGCU
This 422-nucleotide unclassified non-coding RNA is filed under the name uncultured Agaricales. RNAcentral's name for it is "sequence contains ITS2". The stretch from base 1 to 154 matches the Rfam family "5.8S ribosomal RNA". Lineage: Eukaryota; Fungi; Basidiomycota; Agaricomycetes; Agaricales. The record is from RNAcentral.